UACGUAGGUGGCAAGCGUUGUCCGGAAUUAUUGGGCGUAAAGCGCGUGCAGGCGGUCCUUUAAGUCUGAUGUGAAAUCCCACGGCUCAACCGUGGAAGGUCAUUGGAAACUGGGGGACUUGAGUACAGAAGAGGAAAGUGGAAUUCCAAGUGUAGCGGUGAAAUGCGUAGAGAUUUGGAGGAACACCAGUGGCGAAGGCGACUUUCUGGUCUGUAACUGACGCUGAGGCGCGAAAGCGUGGGGAGCAAACAGG
RNAcentral lists this ribosomal RNA (253 nucleotides) under uncultured bacterium. RNAcentral's name for it is "partial 16S ribosomal RNA". It matches the Rfam family "Bacterial small subunit ribosomal RNA", at positions 524 to 776 of the family's 1533-position model. The record is from RNAcentral.